AGGAAGGUGGGGACGACGUCAAGUCAUCAUGGCCCUUAUGUCCUGGGCUGCACACGUGCUACAAUGGCCGGUACAGAGUGAAGCGAAACCGCGAGGUGAAGCAAAACGCAGAAAGCCGGUCUCAGUACGGAUUGGAGUCUGAAACUCGACUUCAUGAAGUUGGAAUCGCUAGUAAUCGCGCAUCAGCAUGGCGCGGUGAAUACGUUCCCGGGCCUU
This 216-nucleotide ribosomal RNA is filed under the name uncultured Spirochaeta sp. RNAcentral describes it as "partial 16S ribosomal RNA". It matches the Rfam family "Bacterial small subunit ribosomal RNA", at positions 1167 to 1382 of the family's 1533-position model. Lineage: Bacteria; Pseudomonadati; Spirochaetota; Spirochaetia; Spirochaetales; Spirochaetaceae. The record is from RNAcentral.